GCCCUGCAUGAAGUCGGAAUUGCUGUAAUCGCGGAUCAGAAUGCCGCGGUGAAUACGUUCCCGGGCCUUGUACACACCGCCCGUCACACCAUGAGAGCCGGUAACACCCGAAGUCAGGAGCCUAACCGCAAGGAGGGCGCUGCCGAAGGUGGGAUUGGUAAUUGGGGUGAAGUCGUAACAAGGUAUC
This 187-nucleotide ribosomal RNA is filed under the name uncultured bacterium. RNAcentral's name for it is "partial 16S ribosomal RNA". It matches the Rfam family "Bacterial small subunit ribosomal RNA", at positions 1313 to 1500 of the family's 1533-position model. The record is from RNAcentral.